This 111-nucleotide ribosomal RNA is filed under the name Caerostris darwini. Lineage: Eukaryota; Metazoa; Arthropoda; Arachnida; Araneae; Araneidae. The record is from RNAcentral.
ACGGCCGUACCAUGCUGAAUAUACCGGUUCUCGUUAGAUCACCGAAGUCAAGCAUCAUUGGGCGCGGUCAGUACUUGGGUGGGUGACCACUUGGGAACACCGCGUGCCGUU